UUUGUCAAACCUCUGUUCCUGGCACUCCAAAGCCUUACUCCUGCACGGUGUCACUGCUGGCCUGGCUGCCUGGGACUGCAGGGCACACUGGUGUGACACCACCCUGCCCUGUCCCUCACAGCCCCCACACCCUGUGUUCCCUCUCAGACUGCAAAAUCCUGUAGGUUUGGAGUAUUUUUUUUUUUUGGGCUAACUUCUGACAGUUCUUUUUUAUUAAUUUUUUUUUUUUUAUUUAUUUAGACACAGACUGUUUAACAAAAGAGAUUUGAUUGGGGAGGCAAGGUCUGUGGGAGCACCUCACAUUAUUCCCAUCUCCAUCUGCAGCUUGGAGGCAAAACCUCUGUGAGUGAGGAAAAGCCCACAGGGGCUCUGCAGAUCACCCUUAGCAGCUCAUUUUGACUUCCAGCCACAAACCUGCCCUUUUUUGUGACAAGAAAAGGUCACAGGGCCUUUCUUGGGGACAGCAACCCCUUCUAUUCCAAGCACAGGCCCUGCUGAGGAGUGAGGAAUAUUUCACCACAGGGAUGGAGAGCUCCACACGUGCCUCCCUUUCCUUCCCUACACUGAGGGGGGAAACUCCUCCACUCAGCACCACCUGGUGAUGAUUUCCACAACAAUUUCAGCAUGAAGGAUGCAGGAUAUCCACCUGUACCUCCAGGCAGGCACACAAAGAAGCUGGGAAGCAGUUUUAAAGGGAGAACCUCAAGUCUCAGGGAAGUGUUCAAGGUCACUGUACACUCAGUGUUUAAAUUUUCCAGAACUGCUCAUUCUCAGGUUUGGUUUACAGAAGAAUCAACAAUAGCAAGAAUACACUGAAUUCAAACUAUGGUCUGAAAACCAGUUUUUGUUUUGGGUCCAGAAAUGCAUGACUCAUUUAUUUAAAAGGAAAAAAAAAGAAAAAAGAAAAGUUCUUUACUGUUUUACAGCGAUGAUCACAGAGGUUUACACAGCCAUCCUUGGUCAGUCAGAUGUGAGAAAGAUGACAGAAAUUAGUAUUUCUUCAAAGGUCCAGACUCUCUGUAUCUGCAGUUGCAGAUACUGACAAGAAAGACUGCAGGUCUGCACUUUGAACUAAAUAAGCGAAAAGCAACACUAGAAAGAAAUAGAGAAAUGGAUUUACUGGGCUCCAGAGGAAAGAACAAUAAUUUGAAAAGUGAUGCUGCAAACUGACAGUGCUGCAGAAAUACCUCAGUGAGGGAAUUUGAUAAUAAAUAAGCAAAUAUCUUGUUUGUGACACGUGAACAUUAAAUGUGCCAGCAGCGGAGAAAAGCUUCACUAGAGGCAGAUGACACCAGAAAAGUUCUGAUAAGCUGAAAAAGGGUCCAGAUAAGGACUUGAAAAGGAAAGCAUCAGAACAUUGGUGGUGACUCAGCAUCAGGAAUUAUCACUUGGGAUGGAGAAGGAAGGGACUGGGUUCAAGGAGGCAAAGACUUUUAAAAAACUUGGGUGAUUUUAGCUGUGCUAAACCUCAGAACUUUGCCUCAGAGCACCACCAGAGGAGUCCAGGGAAGGGAAUGAGCAAUGUGGCACCAGAACUAGUGGGUGGUUGGCUGCCUGGCCUCCAGAAAAAAAGAGGGUGGAAAUUUUGGCAACAGGGAGCAUCAAAGAGCUGGAGUGGCCACUGGGCUUCACCAGCACCUUGGCAACCUCUCCUCCCUCUCCCAGCCACUGGCAGCACCUUCAGGCAGAAUGCCCAAAGUUCCUGGUCCCUGGGAUGGGGAGGGGGUGGCUUAAAACAGGACAAGGCAAGGGAUUGUGGCUGCAACCAGAGGAAAGGAAAACCCGUUUAUAAAAGGAGGCCAAAAGAGCUUGACGUGGUUAGUCUGGCAAAACACACCUCAGUAAGGAUAAUAAAAACAUCUCAGUAAGGAAAUAAUUGCUCUCUAUAAAUAUAUCAGAGGGUAAAUGCCAGAGAAGCUAAAGAAUAUUUCAGCCAAGACUUGGGAACACAACUGGUGGGGCCAUAAAUAAAUUUAAGAUAGAAAUUACAUAAUUUUAAGCUGUAGCAAAACUGGGAAACUUCACAGCCUUCAUAAAGACAUUUUAGGGUGGAGGAAAGAAACUCAGCUAGUUUUAAAUCACAAUUUGCUUGCUCUGUGAGAAAGUGUCUCAGAUGGUGGGGAAUGUGGAGAGAAGACUAGGUUAUGACUUUUUUUUGUUCUUGUAUACCUUAUUUUUGGCAAAAAAACCUCAACAUAAGUAGGUCAAUGGAUUUUUAAUUUGGGCAGAUUUUUUUUCCUCCCCCUCCAUGGCAGGUCCUGGCUCUCCUGGCUGACGCUCUUAAUGACAGAAUCCAACUUCCUAUUGAUCCCACAAACCUUCUCCCAGUAACUCUCAGCACUGCCAGCAAAGCACCUUUCUCACCACUGGGCUUCUCUCACGGUGUCUGACUCCAGUAAUUUCCUAAGUGGACUCUUUGCUUUAAGCAGCAGCUCUGUUCCCCCUGAUAAGGAUCAUUAAAUAUCUGCAAAUGAAAUGGAGGCACUUGUGGCUGGCCUAAAUGGCUUGGCUGCUGAAAUGCUUGGUCAUGCAGGAGUUUUCUGCCUGCCUGCUGCUGCAGUGGUGAUGUGCAAAAUGUGGAUUUUCCACCCUUGCAUCCCAGAGGUGCAGCAGAAACAAAGGGAAAAUGGCAGCUCUGUUUCCACUCUGGAAAAUAAAGAUAGUUUCAGCACAUGCUUGUAAAUCAAAGGUGAAACAUUAAAAACAAAAAAAGGAAAAAAAAAAAAGGAAAAAAAAUAAAAAUAGCAGGAACUCCCCUGAACAAACCACCCUGACAUCCUCAUAAUGAACAACCAGAAUGGUCUCAGCAAAUCUGAGAAAAUGCAAAGCAGAGGAUUAACUGGGCAACUUGCAACUGCUUGAUAAAAUCAUGAUGCAGAACAUACCAUGGCAAAUAAAGACCUCUUAAGCUGUGCAAGCAUAAAGCCUUGCAGACCAGGCAGCUCAGUGCACCUUGAACAAUUACAAAAGCGCAUCAUAUUUUAUGUUCAGAUGUAUUCAGAUGUAGGAAGGCACUGAAGAGCCUAGGAGACUUAUUCAGAAGAGAAAAGGGACAUAUAUUUGGAGAAAUAAUGAGUGCAAAUCCAUAAACAGGAGAGAAUUGUGUUUAGCAUACACAGAGUUUGAGAGAACCAAAGUCCAAAUACAGGAUUUCAUUUGUAAAGCUGUGACAUGAAACAGAAGACAUUUAAAAAAAACCCCAAAACAUUGAUGUAAUUGGUAAAUGGACUGGCUUGAGACUUAUUUUUGUCUGCCAGCAAUAUCUGCUGGCUUGUGGUCAGUCCAGAGGAUAACAUAAACCUGUGCAGAUUUCAGUAAAAAUAAACCAAAAGCAAGCCUAACCAGCACAUUAACCCAACAUCAGGCUUUCUUGACAAUCUCUGAAGUGGGAAACUCAAUUAACAAGGAAAUUGUAUUGAUUUGGUUUAAGCCAGAUGAGGUUAUAUGCUUGCUUAGUCAACAAGAAUACCCACGUUAAUAGGCUGAAAAUGAGUUGUGUUUCAAAGAUUAAAUUAAUGGCAAAUGGAUAGGAUUCACUUGGAUUUUUUUUUUCCUCAAGUUCCUCCAAACCUAUUUAAUUACAGGGCUCAGCAGUUCUACAACAACCCAGAAUAAACUCCAGGCUUUUGUCUGGGCUUUCAUGUCCUCAGGACCAUGCAGGCUGUUUUCCAGCCUCACAGACAUUAUUCCUGGUUCUCCACAAGCACCUGCCAGGGCUUUUAAACUCCUCCCAUCCACAUCCUCACCCUGCUGAGGCAGGGAUUGUCACAUCUGGACAGUGACAUCCCUACAACAAACAGGGAUCUCUCACAAAGAUACACAGGACAGAAGGUCUGCACUCCUCCUGCCUAUUUUUUUUUCUGGAAUAGAUAUUCUAUCCUUAAACAAUUACAGGGGAUCACUGGACACAGAGCAAGGAUGACUUUUGCCUUGACUCAUUACAAACAUUCUCUAUUUCAAUUUUUUUUUUUUUUCAGUUACCAAAGCUUCACCGAGCUUUUACACCAAAUACCUGCACCAGACACAAGGAGAAAAGUUAUUAUUAUUAUUAUUAUUAUUAUUAUUAUUAUUAUUAUUAUUAUUAUUAUUAUUAUUAUUAUUAUUAUAAUAAGCUUAAUUUUAAGUGCAAACAGGGCCCCAAAGCGCUGCUUUUGGGAAAAGGAUUGGUUUUCCCUUUGGUGUGCUGAUGGCAGGGGUUGUAGCCCCAAAGGAAGGAGGGGAGAGCAGGAGGAUCUGCUGAGGUAUUCCCUGAAAAGCUGGUAUUUCUGCUCAUUUCUUCCCAGAUGCUCCACAGUCAUGGAAAACUUGUCAUUUUUCUCCAUGCAGCAUCCCCUGCCUCAGGUAUUUGUCAGACCAUGAGGGGUCUGUGCACCACCAAAGCUUACAAUUCCCUCACUGCUUUUAGAAGUUAGGGCUGUGAUUUUCUACCAGCACCAUAAAUUAUCCCAUAAAUUACCUGAGGUGCUGACUCCUGCUUGGGCCAGCUUUCAUCUCAGUGAGACACACAUAAAUUCCCCAAGCUACAGAAAGUGCACGUGGGGCAUGGGAUCCCUGUCCUAGGAUCUCUCACUCACCAGGAGCUUAAAUCCCGUGGGCUCAGCUCAGCUUCCUUCCUUCCUCAGGGGCCAAAGGCACAGACUCCCCCACAUCCAAAUGUCAGGUUUGGCACUCUAAGUGCUGCUCUCCAGGCUGAUUUGCAAGGGUUUUUUAAGAGUCAAAUAGCAGGGGUUAAAAAAAAAAAAAACAAACAAAAACAAAUGCCCAAACCUGAAUAACCCGAGCCCAGCACAGCUCCAUCUCCCAGCCUGAGGGCUGCCCAGCAGAACUGGGAGCUGUGCUAAUCCCUAAUUAAGUCUAAUCUACACCAGGGAGGGUUUGUUGAUUUAGCUAGAUAGGGAGGGAGAUACUGACAGGUUAGUCCUGGUGUGCAGAGGGGGGGAAAAACUCCAAAACCAUGAUUGGUAGCAGUUGAAUUAGUAGUCAUUCUUUCUUCAGGGCAGAUAAUGAUAUAUAUUGAUGCUUCAAGAGUGAAAAAAGGGAAAUUUUGUUAUUAUUAUAUUUCUAUAUAUAUGUAUAUUUAUUUUAU
Long non-coding RNA from Passer domesticus (house sparrow), 5086 nucleotides. RefSeq lists it as uncharacterized. The record is from RefSeq and is a predicted model, not a curated record. The transcript is spliced from 3 exons. NCBI's taxonomy places the organism in Eukaryota, Metazoa, Chordata, Aves, Passeriformes, Passeridae.